CGGCGUGCCUAAUACAUGCAAGUCGAGCGAGCUGAACCAGCAGAUUCACUUCGGUGAUGACGCUGGGAACGCGAGCGGCGGAUGGGUGAGUAACACGUGGGUAACCUGCCCUAAAGUCUGGGAUACCACUUGGAAACAGGUGCUAAUACCGGAUAACAACAAUAGCUGCAUGGCUAUUGCUUAAAAGGCGGCGAAAGCUGUCGCUAAAGGAUGGACCCGCGGUGCAUUAGCUAGUUGGUAAGGUAAUGGCUUACCAAGGCGACGAUGCAUAGCCGAGUUGAGAGACUGAUCGGCCACAUUGGGACUGAGACACGGCCCAAACUCCUACGGGAGGCAGCAGUAGGGAAUCUUCCACAAUGGGCGAAAGCCUGAUGGAGCAACGCCGCGUGAGUGAAGAAGGUUUUCGGAUCGUAAAGCUCUGUUGUUGGUGAAGAAGGAUAGAGGUAGUAACUGGCCCCUAUUUGACGGUAAUCAACCAGAAAGUCACGGCUAACUACGUG
This 500-nucleotide ribosomal RNA is filed under the name uncultured Lactobacillus sp. Its description in RNAcentral is "bacterial SSU rRNA". It matches the Rfam family "Bacterial small subunit ribosomal RNA", at positions 40 to 507 of the family's 1533-position model. The record is from RNAcentral. Lineage: Bacteria; Bacillati; Bacillota; Bacilli; Lactobacillales; Lactobacillaceae.